Molecule: non-coding RNA, 515 nt
Organism: Zootermopsis nevadensis
Lineage: Eukaryota; Metazoa; Arthropoda; Insecta; Blattodea; Termopsidae
Source: RefSeq, a predicted model, not a curated record
GGUCUGUAUAUGCUGUUAUUUGUGGUACACACCACAAUUAACCUACCUAUGUGCAAUUGUCUAUGACGGUAAAAGCGAGGAAGUUCUAGUGAUAUACAGUUCACGUAAACAACUUUAGGAUAUUUAACUAUUAGGGGGGAAAAACAGUGUGUACAGAAGUCAUGAUUCGUAGUGGUAUUAAGAAAACAUCUGAAGCAAUGACGAGAAUAAUAUUACGCGAGACGGAAAAAAUAUUGGGAGAGACUUGCUUAAAAAUAGGGCAGUGAAAAGGUUAAAAUAUAAUCAAAGUGUUAUGAGUUGGCAGUCACUGAUUUCAUUCUAUAUUAUCUACAGUAUGUUCCAUAUUGUACACAGAAGUGCCAGUCCUAUGAAAAAGUAGGAGCGAAAUGAAUUCAUUGAUGCCAACCUUCCAUCAGACAAAACUUCAGGAACAGAUAAACAAAUUUUAACUGCUGAUGAAAUGUCCAUAUUCUAUAAAACUUUUCUAGACAAGAACUGCAAAGUCCACAUUCGAU